Long non-coding RNA from Peromyscus maniculatus bairdii (prairie deer mouse), 676 nucleotides. RefSeq lists it as uncharacterized. NCBI's taxonomy places the organism in Eukaryota, Metazoa, Chordata, Mammalia, Rodentia, Cricetidae. The record is from RefSeq and is a predicted model, not a curated record.
CCUGGAAAGUAUGCUGUCAGCAUCUAGUCUGUGGCUGCUCUGUGUCUAAACACUUGGCUGCCUCAGUACAGGGAAAGGGUGAGUGAGAGGAUUGUGGGGGAGUGCAGCUCCACCCCCGUAUGGCAUUUGCAUUGGACUCACGCCUAGACUGGGCCUAGAUGUGGCCAGUUGUGUGACUGGUCGUGCUGUGGCCAGCUGACACCCUCUUGGCUGCAUUUGUGUUUUGAAAUCUGCCUUGAAUGAACUGCCAGAGAAGCAAACAAACACUUCCGGGACACAGAAUACCUCACUCUCUAUGCUGGAGACAAGUGUGGCCUCAGGAGCAAGUGGAAAGUUCUGAAUGAAAACUCGCAGACCCACCGGCCACCCUCUGGCCCCACCACAGUGCUGUGGGCACCUGGACGGGCUGGAAGCAGCCUACACACAUUUCUCCCUAUCACGAAAGAAUCAAAGACAGCAUCUUGGGUAGGAAGCAAUCGCGGAGGGUGGAAGUUUCUGGUCAGGCAAAUAAAUUGGAUUUAAGUAUAUUACAGUCAUAAUCUUUCCUGCCCCUCUCCAGACGGUCUCUGUACAUGGAAAAAUGAGAAUAUAUUCGCAGACAAAGCUUGACCUGAGGGAGAAGCCUGCCGGAAUCUGGAUUUCCAAUAACAUAAGACAAUAAAGCUUAGACUUCUAA